This 600-nucleotide ribosomal RNA is filed under the name Escherichia coli. RNAcentral describes it as "bacterial SSU rRNA". It matches the Rfam family "Bacterial small subunit ribosomal RNA", at positions 39 to 628 of the family's 1533-position model. The record is from RNAcentral. Lineage: Bacteria; Pseudomonadati; Pseudomonadota; Gammaproteobacteria; Enterobacterales; Enterobacteriaceae.
AUGGGGGCGUACUAGUAUGAUAGUCGAACGGUAACAGGAAGAAGCUUGCUUCUUUGCUGACGAGUGGCGGACGGGUGAGUAAUGUCUGGGAAACUGCCUGAUGGAGGGGGAUAACUACUGGAAACGGUAGCUAAUACCGCAUAACGUCGCAAGACCAAAGAGGGGGACCUUCGGGCCUCUUGCCAUCGGAUGUGCCCAGAUGGGAUUAGCUAGUAGGUGGGGUAACGGCUCACCUAGGCGACGAUCCCUAGCUGGUCUGAGAGGAUGACCAGCCACACUGGAACUGAGACACGGUCCAGACUCCUACGGGAGGCAGCAGUGGGGAAUAUUGCACAAUGGGCGCAAGCCUGAUGCAGCCAUGCCGCGUGUAUGAAGAAGGCCUUCGGGUUGUAAAGUACUUUCAGCGGGGAGGAAGGGAGUAAAGUUAAUACCUUUGCUCAUUGACGUUACCCGCAGAAGAAGCACCGGCUAACUCCGUGCCAGCAGCCGCGGUAAUACGGAGGGUGCAAGCGUUAAUCGGAAUUACUGGGCGUAAAGCGCACGCAGGCGGUUUGUUAAGUCAGAUGUGAAAUCCCCGGGCUCAACCUGGGAACUGCAUCU